Long non-coding RNA from Gallus gallus (chicken), 1152 nucleotides. RefSeq lists it as uncharacterized. NCBI's taxonomy places the organism in Eukaryota, Metazoa, Chordata, Aves, Galliformes, Phasianidae. The transcript has 2 exons. The record is from RefSeq and is a predicted model, not a curated record.
AGUGCUCAUGAAAUUAGCCUAGAAAGAGGCAUUAGAAACUUACUGGCACAGCUGUUCUACAAGGUGAAGUCAUUAGUCAUUAAACUGAUGCUCUACUGCCCAUCCCUGUGCUACACCAGCCAGAAGCAACAACUGUGGGAUUACCUUGCCAACUGGAAGCCGGUCGAUGAGUUGAAACAAACGUGCAGCAGAUGUUUUGGCUUUGGCGUAGUUCGGGGUGUAGGAAGAAGCUCUUCCCAAAGCAGUCCCACUGGUCACGAUUGCAGAGAUCACUCUGCAGAAAAGGUGGACGUGGUUACUCUUGGGCAGCCAUCGGGAAGCUGCGCGCUCCGCCUGGACCAGCACCUCUGGAGAGGAGGUCUGUGCCCGGCCCCAUGCAGGCUCCUACCUGAACACAAAGCUGUAAUGGAGCCCUUCAGUUUGAACCAGAAAUCCUCCAUAUCUGUAAGAGACAGAGUUGGCUAUGAACACUAUACUCUGGGCAAAGCCAAAGCAGAUUCCAUAAACGUUUGCUUUUUUGAUUGCAGCUCUGUAUGGCAUAUCCAGGUUCUUCUCAAAAGCAUCAAUGAACUUUUUUUCUUUCCCUAUCCCAGCCACAGUUCUGAUGUUAGAGAGGGCUUCACUGGAAAUCUGGAGGAGGAAAAAAAACAACAAAAAAGUAAAAUCACCCUGCUUAUCUCAAGUAAUUUUACUCAGAAAUUGGUUUAACAAUGCUGUCGUUUGCCUGGAGUUCAAUAGUAGUUUCAGGGUAUGACAUUUCCUGUAUUUUCAGCAUACACGUGUUUUUAUCACAUAGAAAGAGAUCUCAAUAUAUAAACCAUUAUAAAGUAUGCCAUUCAAUUUCAGGGUAUUUCUUCUGGUCAAAAUUAAGGGUCACAUCCAUUGCAUUAUCACACAACUUGAAGCAGCAGAUAAUUAGGUACAGUGCAUUUGAUUGUUCAGACAAUCUGUUCUGCUUUUCCAUGUUUAACAUGGCUGAGGAACAGUCACAGUGGAGGAACAUUAAGCUUUUUUUGUUUGGAUGCAAUGCUUGAAAAUGAAUUAGAAAAUAGCACCAGACAUAAUCAGUCAUUGCCAAAACUGCUGAAGCAUUGAGUGCCCUUUUUAUCCCAGCCUCUGAGUUGUUCUAUUUAAUAAAAGCUUAAAAAUUGA